Molecule: ribosomal RNA, 483 nt
Filed under: uncultured bacterium
Lineage: Bacteria
Description: partial 16S ribosomal RNA
Rfam family: Bacterial small subunit ribosomal RNA
Source: RNAcentral
AUUGAACGCUGGCGGCAUGCUUUACACAUGCAAGUCGAACGGCAGCGCGGGCUUCGGCCUGGCGGCGAGUGGCGAACGGGUGAGUAAUACAUCGGAACGUGCCCAGUAGUGGGGGAUAGCUCGGCGAAAGCCGGAUUAAUACCGCAUACGACCUGAGGGUGAAAGCGGGGAUCUUCGGACCUCGCGCUAUUGGAGCGGCCGAUGGCAGAUUAGCUAGUUGGUGGGGUAAAGGCCUACCAAGGCGACGAUCUGUAGCUGGUCUGAGAGGACGACCAGCCACACUGGGACUGAGACACGGCCCAGACUCCUACGGGAGGCAGCAGUGGGGAAUUUUGGACAAUGGGCGAAAGCCUGAUCCAGCAAUGCCGCGUGUGUGAUGAAGGCCUUCGGGUUGUAAAGCACUUUUGGCGGGAACGAAAAAGACUGUGCCAAUACCACGGUUCGAUGACGGUACCCGCAGAAUAAGCACCGGCUAACUACGUG